GGGCAGCUACCCAGCAAUGGGAUGCGAAUCUCGAAAGACCUGUCUCAGUUCGGAUUGGAGGCUGAAACCCGCCUCCAUGAAGUUGGAUUCGCUAGUAAUCGCGCAUCAGCCAUGGCGCGGUGAAUACGUUCCCGGGCCUUGUACACACCGCCCGUCAAGCCAUGGGAGCCGGGGGUGCCUGAAGUUCGUGACCGCAAGGAGCGACCUAGGGCAAAACUGGUGACUGGGGCUAAGUCGUAACAAGGUACC
Molecule: ribosomal RNA, 249 nt
Filed under: uncultured bacterium
Lineage: Bacteria
Description: partial 16S ribosomal RNA
Rfam family: Bacterial small subunit ribosomal RNA
Source: RNAcentral